CCCUUAGAUGUUCUGGGCCGCACGCGCGCUACACUGAUGCAUUCAACGAGCCUAUCCUUGACCGACAGGUCCGGGUAAUCUUUGAAUCUGCAUCGUGACGGGGAUAGAUUAUUGCAAUUAUUAAUCUUCAACGAGGAAUGCCUAGUAGGCGCAAGUCAUCAGCUUGCGUCGAUUACGUCCCUGCCCUUUGUACACACCGCCCGUCGCUCCUACCGAUUGGGUGUGCUGGUGAAAUGUUCGGAUCGGCCGUUUGUCGCGGUUUCCGCGGCUCGUGGCUGAGAAGUUCAUUAAACCCUACCACCGAGAGGAAGGAGAAGUCGUAACA
This 325-nucleotide ribosomal RNA is filed under the name uncultured eukaryote. RNAcentral describes it as "partial 18S ribosomal RNA". It matches the Rfam family "Eukaryotic small subunit ribosomal RNA", at positions 1470 to 1796 of the family's 1831-position model. The record is from RNAcentral.